CAAAUAAUAAGCGGUCAUAGCUUGUAACACACACAAAAGAAUGGGAACUGUUUCUGUGAGAAAAGAUUGAUAGGGUUGAAAAACAGCCUGUCUAUCAGAAUUGGCGGAACAAUACCAAUUAUACCCAAUGAUGAGUUUAACUCUGUACACAAGAACCACAGGGAAGGGACAUUCCUAUGGAUUAUACCCAAUGAGAUCCACAUAAAACUUGGAAAUACAACUCCAAUCCGAAAGAAUUUAGAUGCAACUGGAAAAACAGCACUGUUAAAAUGUUGAUGAAAUCUUAAGUUUCUUUUGUAC
This is a long non-coding RNA of Mytilus californianus (California mussel), 300 nucleotides long. RefSeq lists it as uncharacterized. The record is from RefSeq and is a predicted model, not a curated record. Lineage: Eukaryota; Metazoa; Mollusca; Bivalvia; Mytilida; Mytilidae. The transcript has 3 exons.